GAUGAACGCUGGCGGCGUGCUUAACACAUGCAAGUCGAACGAAGCACUUUACUUGAUCUUUUCGGAGUGAUUGUUUUGUGACUGAGUGGCGGACGGGUGAGUAACGCGUGGGUAACCUGCCUCACACAAGGGGAUAACAGUUGGAAACGGCUGCUAAUACCGCAUAAGCGCACAGUACCGCAUGGUACGGUGUGAAAAACUCCGGUGGUGUGAGAUGGACCCGCGUCUGAUUAGCUAGUUGGCAGGGCAGCGGCCUACCAAGGCGACGAUCAGUAGCCGACCUGAGAGGGUGACCGGCCACAUUGGGACUGAGACACGGCCCAAACUCCUACGGGAGGCAGCAGUGGGGAAUAUUGCACAAUGGGGGAAACCCUGAUGCAGCGACGCCGCGUGAGCGAAGAAGUAUUUCGGUAUGUAAAGCUCUAUCAGCAGGGAAGAAGAAAUGACGGUACCUGACUAAGAAGCACCGGCUAAAUACGUGCCAGCCGCCGCGGUAA
This 497-nucleotide ribosomal RNA is filed under the name uncultured bacterium. RNAcentral's name for it is "partial 16S ribosomal RNA". It matches the Rfam family "Bacterial small subunit ribosomal RNA", at positions 28 to 523 of the family's 1533-position model. The record is from RNAcentral.